AAUAGAAUGCCUUUUUAGAAUCCCCUGCAGGCGCCAACUCGGAAUAAAAAAAACCUCACUUUAGAAUGAAGCAGGAAUCAUCCAAACCAGAAAGCCCACAUGGAUUCCGAACCGCAGAUGGCAUCAAGCCCGAUUUAAGCCGAUUCGGCGACAUCAGAAUAGGUUGUGCAAGAACGAAAAGAAGGCAGGGACAUUUCAUUUAACAGGAAAGACCAUAAAAACCACCAGUAUAGGCCUUUUUUUGGCAAGCAAC
This 253-nucleotide unclassified non-coding RNA is filed under the name Hevea brasiliensis (rubber tree). The record is from RNAcentral. Lineage: Eukaryota; Viridiplantae; Streptophyta; Magnoliopsida; Malpighiales; Euphorbiaceae.